GGGGCUGUAGUUCAGUGGCAGAUCGCAUGCUGAACAUGUAUGAAGUCCGGGGUUUAAUUCUCUGCAUCUCCA
Megalops atlanticus (tarpon) is the source of this 72-nucleotide non-coding RNA. NCBI's taxonomy places the organism in Eukaryota, Metazoa, Chordata, Actinopteri, Elopiformes, Megalopidae. The record is from the annotation of a GenBank genome assembly.